GGAUGUGAGUACGAUCUGGUUUCGACAUCUGUCACCCCACUGAUCGCCAGGGUAGGUUCGGCUGAUCUGGCUGGCUAGGCGGGUGUCCCCUUCCUCCCUCAGCGCUCCAUGUGCGUCCCUCCCGAAGCUGCGCGCUCGGUCGAAGGGGACGACCAUCCCCGAUAGCGGAGGACCAGUCUUCGGUCAAGGGUAUACGAGUAGCUGCGCUCCCCUGCUAGAACCUCCAAACAAGCUCUCAAGCCAUGUCUACAAACACAAAAUAAGAAAAAUUAUAUUAAGCGUUAAUGAGUCAAAACAUAGCUCGGUCUCUUAUA
Molecule: unclassified non-coding RNA, 314 nt
Organism: Bison bison bison
Lineage: Eukaryota; Metazoa; Chordata; Mammalia; Artiodactyla; Bovidae
Gene: 7SK
Rfam family: 7SK RNA
About the family: 7SK was discovered as an abundant small nuclear RNA in the mid-70s but a possible function has only recently been suggested. Two independent studies have found that 7SK RNA binds the CDK9/cyclin T complex (known as elongation factor P-TEFb). P-TEFb activates transcription by phosphorylating the C-terminal domain of RNA polymerase II.
Source: Ensembl